This is a ribosomal RNA of Aotus nancymaae (Ma's night monkey), 123 nucleotides long. NCBI's taxonomy places the organism in Eukaryota, Metazoa, Chordata, Mammalia, Primates, Aotidae. The record is from Ensembl.
CUCUACGGCCAUGCCACUCUGAAUGUGCCCGAUCAGAGCUCAUCUGAUCUCGGAAGCUAAGCAAGGUCGGGCCUGGUUAGUACUUGGAUGGGAAGAAAAAUCCUCCCAUGGUCUCCCUGCUGG